Molecule: ribosomal RNA, 429 nt
Filed under: Pseudomonadota bacterium
Lineage: Bacteria; Pseudomonadati; Pseudomonadota
Description: Proteobacteria bacterium partial 16S ribosomal RNA
Rfam family: Bacterial small subunit ribosomal RNA
Source: RNAcentral
UGGGGAAUAUUGGACAAUGGGCGAAAGCCUGAUCCAGCCAUGCCGCGUGUGUGAAGAAGGUCUUCGGAUUGUAAAGUACUUUAAGUAGGGAGGAAGGGCAGUAAGCGAAUACCUUGCUGUUUUGACGUUACCGACAGAAUAAGCACCGGCUAACUCUGUGCCAGCAGCCGCGGUAAUACAGAGGGUGCAAGCGUUAAUCGGAAUUACUGUGCGUAAAGCGCGCGUAGGUGGUUCGUUAAGUUGAAUGUGAAAGCCCCGGGCUCAACCUGAGAACUGCUUCCAAGACUGGCGAGCUAGAGUAGGGCAGAGGGUGGUGAAAUUUCCUGUGUAGCGGUGAAAUGCAUAGAUAUAGGAAGGAACACCAGUGGCGAAGGCGACCACCUGGGCUCAUACUGACACUGAGGUGCGAAAGCGUGGGGAGCAAACAGG